UGUAGGUGUCGGUUGUAUCCCUCGUGCGGCUGUAGAUGGUUCACAAUUUAGUGUGAAACACUUGUAGGUGUCGGUUGUAUCCCUCGUGCAGCUGUAGGUGGUUCACAAUUGAGUGUGAGACGCCUGUAGGUGUCGGUUGUAUCCCUUGUGCGACUGUAGAUGGUUCACAAUCGAGUGUGAAACACUUGUAGGUGUCGGUUGUAACCCUUGUGUGGCUGUAGGUGGUUCACAAUCGAGUGUGAAACACUUGUAGGUGUCAAUUGUAUCCCUCGUGCGGCUGUAGAUGGUUCACAAUCGAGUGUGAAACACUUGUAAGUGUCUAUUGUGACCCUUGUGCGGCUGUAGGUGGUCACAAUCGAGUGUGAGACGCCUGUAGGUAUCAGUUGUAUCCCUCGUGCGGCUGUAGUUGGAUCACAAUCAAGUGUGAAACACUUGUAGGUGUCUGUUGUAACCCUUGUGCGGCUGUAGGUGCUCACAAUCGAGUGUGAAACACUUGUAGGUGUCGAUUGUAACCCUUGUGCGGCUGCAGCUGGUCACAAUUGAGUGUGAGACGCCUGUAGGUGUCGGUUGUAUCCUUUGUGUGGGUGUAGUUGGAUCACAAUCGAGUGUGAAACACUUGUAGGUUCGGUUGUAUCCCUUGUGUGGGUGUAGGUGGUCACAAUUGAGUGUGAAACACUUGUAGGUGUCGAUUGUAACCCUUGUUUGGGUGUAGGUGGGUCACAAUCGAGUGUGAGACACCUGUAGGUGUCGGUUGUAUCCCUCGUGCGGCUGUAGAUGGUUCACAAUCGAGUGUGAAACACUUGUAGGUGUCGAUUGUAACCCUCGUUUGGGUGUAGGUGGGUCACAAUUGAGUGGGAAACACUUGUAGGUGUCGAUUGUAACCCUUGUUUGGGUGUAGUUGGAUCACAAUCGAGUGUGAGACACUUGUAGGUGUCUAUUGUAACCCUUGUGUCGCUGUAGGUGGGUCACAAUUGAGUGUGAAACACUUGUAGGUGUCGGUUGUAUCCCUUGUGUGGGUGUAGGUGGUCACAAUUGAGUGUGAAACACUUGUAGGUGUCGAUUGUAACCCUUGUGCGGCUGUAGGUGGCUCACAAUUGAGUGUGAAACACUUGUAGGUGUCGAUUGUAACCCUUGUGUGGCUGUAGGUGGUUCACAAUCGAGUGUGAGACGCCUGUAGGUGUCUAUUGUAACCCUUGUGUGGGUGUAGGUGGCUCACAAUCGAGUGUGAAACACUUGUAGGUGUCUUUUGUAACCCUUGUGCGGCUGUAGGUGGCUCACAAUUGAGUGUGAAACACUUGUAGGUGUCUAUUGUAUCGCUUGUUUGGGUGUGGUUGGAUCACAAUUGAGUGUGAAACACUUGUAGGUGUCGGUUGUAUCCCUCGUGCGGCUGUAGGUGAUCACAAUCGAGUGUGAGACGCUUGUGGGUGACGGUUGUAUCCCUCGUGUGACUGUAGGUGGCUCACAAUUGAGUGUGAAACACUUGUAGGUGUCGAUUGUAACCCUUGUGCAGGUGUAGUUGGGUCACAAUUGAGUGUGAGACACUUGUAGGCGUCGAUUGUAUCCCUUGUGCAGGUGUAGGUGGUUCACAAUCGAGUGUGAGACGCCUGUAGGUGCUCACAAU
Molecule: long non-coding RNA, 1621 nt
Organism: Numida meleagris (helmeted guineafowl)
Lineage: Eukaryota; Metazoa; Chordata; Aves; Galliformes; Numididae
Exons: 2
Source: RefSeq, a predicted model, not a curated record